This is a non-coding RNA of Sporanaerobacter sp. PP17-6a, 83 nucleotides long. NCBI's taxonomy places the organism in Bacteria, Bacillati, Bacillota, Tissierellia, Tissierellales, Sporanaerobacteraceae. The record is from Rfam.
UAGCUGGCAUCCAUUGUGAGCUGGACUGUUUUCGUUUUAUAUGGAAUAUCGUCUGGUAUCUAAAUAAUGAACUAGAACGGAGG